GGGGGCGUAGCUCAGUUGGCAGAGCAACGGACUUUUAAUCCGUAGGUCACAGGUUCGAAUCCUGUCGCCCUCA
RNAcentral lists this transfer RNA (73 nucleotides) under Planctomycetaceae bacterium. RNAcentral's name for it is "tRNA-Lys". It matches the Rfam family "tRNA". From Rfam's summary of the family: Transfer RNA (tRNA) molecules are approximately 80 nucleotides in length. Their secondary structure includes four short double-helical elements and three loops (D, anti-codon, and T loops). RNAcentral also lists the same sequence under 2 other names. The record is from RNAcentral. Lineage: Bacteria; Pseudomonadati; Planctomycetota; Planctomycetia; Planctomycetales; Planctomycetaceae.